GUGAAUCAUCGAAUCUUUGAACGCAAAUUGCACUCUCUGGCAUUCCGGAGAGUAUGCCUGUUUGAGGGUCAGUUUAAAUAAAAAUCGAGGUGUUGCUGUUUUCGCGGUGACAUUCGUCGGAAAUUGGGUCAUCUUAAACCUUUGGGUUUUAAGCGGCUUAAAAUUUUCUUUACGAUUCCACGAACGUUUCUAAGAUAUUUACUUCUUACACGUUUAAGGUAUCGAUCUUUAUUAGACGUGGCCGUUGCAUCGGAUCACGUCCAUAAAUAUUUCGUUAACUGACUUUAUACAGGUAAGAACA
Molecule: unclassified non-coding RNA, 301 nt
Filed under: Glomus sp.
Lineage: Eukaryota; Fungi; Glomeromycota; Glomeromycetes; Glomerales; Glomeraceae
Description: partial contains 5.8S ribosomal RNA and internal transcribed spacer 2
Rfam family: 5.8S ribosomal RNA (bases 1-71)
Source: RNAcentral